RNAcentral lists this ribosomal RNA (852 nucleotides) under Triticum aestivum (bread wheat). Its description in RNAcentral is "partial small subunit ribosomal RNA". Lineage: Eukaryota; Viridiplantae; Streptophyta; Magnoliopsida; Poales; Poaceae. The record is from RNAcentral.
AUGGCAGCGAAAAUCCGUCAUUCGACUCUUCUUGUUCUACUAUUUGUAGUAGCUUUCUUCCUACCCCUGGUCUGUUCCACGGAGUUCGUCCACCUCUACUUCAAUUACACCAUCGACCCCUACACCAAGAACUACGCAGACUUGAAGAGAAUACUGGUGAGGAACCAGCCUGAGCUGCGAGUGCUGACGAGCAGGGCGUUGGCGGUUCGACGCCCCAACUUCUAUGACCUACCGGCUCGAGUGAUUUUAUGCCACCUCAACGGUGAUCUUCCUCAGGACAAGUGCGUGGUCGCCUUCGCAGACGACGAUAUCUCCGCCAUGGGCUUCAGGAACUCGAGCGGGCACUGGCACUGCAUAGGAGGCUUCCGGUUCGCGGGCUGUACAGUUCUCCCCUUCGGGGAGAAUUACGGCGAGCUUCUCGGAGAGGGUGGCCACGUAAACCUCCCGUUUGUACCGCUCGGGAGGGAGGCGGCGAAAGAGGGAGUGCGCCUUCUGGCAAGCUACUCAUACUCCCCCGGCGGGGACCUUGGACCGGCUAAGCGAGGCAUGGCCAGGUUCAUCGUCAUGAUAGCCGAAGCAGCCCGUUUCCGGCCCGUCAGCAACAGGUUGGCCAAUCACUGGGAGGAAGAGACCAACAUGCUCGAUGUUGAGGCAGAAUUCUGUGUAAACUGGGGAAGAAUGUCGUUUUUACUUAUUGACUGGGAUAAAACAACCGGGCGUACAAGCUGGGGAAGGGGGCAUUACGCAGCGGCUCAGGAGCUGGAGCAGGAAACAGGAAUUAAGAGCCCAAGAGAUGCUUUGCGCGUGCUAGAUCUGCUGGUGAGGCCAAGAGGUUAUAGUGUCCCCAACUAA